This 371-nucleotide ribosomal RNA is filed under the name uncultured organism. RNAcentral's name for it is "partial 16S ribosomal RNA". It matches the Rfam family "Bacterial small subunit ribosomal RNA", at positions 527 to 896 of the family's 1533-position model. The record is from RNAcentral.
GGAGGGUGCAAGCGUUAUUCGGAAUCACUGGGCGUAAGGAGCGCGUAGGCGGUUUCUAAAGUCAGAUGUGAAAGCCCGGGGCUCAACCCCGGAAGUGCAUUUGAAACUUAGGGACUUGAGUAUGGGAGAGGGAAGUGGAAUUCCUGGUGUAGCGGUGAAAUGCGUAGAUAUCAGGAGGAACACCGGUGGCGAAGGCGACUUCCUGGACCAAUACUGACGCUGAGGCGCGAAGGCGUGGGGAGCAAACAGGAUUAGAUACCCUGGUAGUCCACGCAGUAAACGUUGAACACUAGGUGUAGCGGGUAUUGACCCCUGCUGUGCCGCAGCUAACGCAUUAAGUGUUCCGCCUGGGGAGUACGGCCGCAAGGCUA